GGUUCCGUCUGGAGCUGACCUUGCCAAUAGAUUUUGAUGAGACCACUGCGCAUCCACUUCUGCUGAUCCUGUACCUGACCAAGCUGCCAUAUGUGGAUACAAACAAGGUGGCAGUUUAUGGAAAGGCUUAUGUGGACUUCCUGAGCUCUCUUCUUCUCUCCUCUGGCUCCAUGUUCAAGUGUGGGGUUGCGGUUGCUCCUGUGACAGACUGGAGACUCUACG
Long non-coding RNA from Oncorhynchus keta (chum salmon), 222 nucleotides. RefSeq lists it as uncharacterized. The transcript is spliced from 3 exons. The record is from RefSeq and is a predicted model, not a curated record. NCBI's taxonomy places the organism in Eukaryota, Metazoa, Chordata, Actinopteri, Salmoniformes, Salmonidae.